This 451-nucleotide ribosomal RNA is filed under the name uncultured bacterium. RNAcentral's name for it is "bacterial SSU rRNA". It matches the Rfam family "Bacterial small subunit ribosomal RNA", at positions 85 to 518 of the family's 1533-position model. The record is from RNAcentral.
GUGGAACGAGGCGGCGGAGUGGGUGAGUAUCACGUGGGCAACCUGCCUGUAAGAUUGGGAGUAACUCGCGGAAACGUGAGCUAAUACCGAAUGAAGUCUUUCACCACCUGGUGAAAGGAUGAAAGAUGGCUUUUAGCUAUCACUUACAGAUGGGCCCGCGGCGCAUUAGCUAGUUGGUGGGGUAAAGGCCUACCAAGGCGACGAUGCGUAGCCGACCUGAGAGGGUGAUCGGCCACACUGGGACUGAGACACGGCCCAGACUCCUACGGGAGGCAGCAGUAGGGAAUCUUCCGCAAUGGACGAAAGUCUGACGGAGCAACGCCGCGUGAGUGAUGAAGGUCUUCGGAUCGUAAAACUCUGUUGUCAGGGAAGAACAAGUUGUGUUCUAACAGGACAUGACCUUGACGGUACCUGACCAGAAAGCCCCGGCUAACUACGUGCCAGCCGCUGC